GAAAUGCGAUAAGUAGUGUGAAUUGCAGAAUUCAGUGAAUCAUCGAAUCUUUGAACGCACAUUGCGCCCUUUGGUAUUCCUUAGGGCAUGCCUGUUCGAGCGUCAUUUCAACCCUCAAGCACAGCUUGGUGAUGGGCGCCCGUCCCGCCCCCCCUCGGGGGGUCGCGCGGACCCGCCUCAAAUGCAUUGGCGGCCGGUUCCUUGGCUUCGAGCGCAGCAGAAACGCGGACUCGGGGCCUCGGGGCCGAUCCCCCAGAAGCUUACCCCCCCAUUUUGACCUCGGAUCAGGUAGGGAUACCCGCUGAACUUAA
Molecule: unclassified non-coding RNA, 311 nt
Filed under: uncultured fungus
Lineage: Eukaryota; Fungi
Description: sequence contains ITS1
Rfam family: 5.8S ribosomal RNA (bases 1-105)
Source: RNAcentral